GGAUGGGGCUUUUCCGGCCACCAUACUUUGUAUUUCUUCUUCCUGUUAUUAGGCAUUUGCGAAUUCCACUUCUAUCUCUCUUAACCGGUGCGCCAUCCAGUACAACAACCACCAACCUCCUCUCUCCGAUCCGCCGUAAACGUGAUCCACCGUAUACCUCCUCUCUCCAGAUCUCGUUCUUCUCUUCGUGGUUCUUUUCAAAGUUAUGGAUUCCAUGGAAAAAGGAAUGUUACGGGGAAGAAGAAGAAGAAUAUUGAGAUGAAGGAAUGAGUAAUGUUACAAUUAUGGAAAUUCAUAUGGUGGUGGGUUUGUUCUUGUUGUUGCAAUUGUAAUGAUAAAGAUUGAUUGUUGUUUAGAAACUGGAAAUACAGACAUUCAAAAGAAGAGAGAGAAACUGGAAGGAGUAAGGAAAGAUCAAAAUGCAGUAUUUGUGGUACAUGAUAAUAUAUGUGUUUUGAUUUUUGAUGUUCCACUUUUGGAAAUUUGUUUCUGAAAUCAUGUGAUGUUGUUUCUGGAAAUUUGUUUAAGGUGAUGGUGAAAAGAAGGUGAAGAAAGGGAGAAAUAA
Molecule: long non-coding RNA, 565 nt
Organism: Medicago truncatula (barrel medic)
Lineage: Eukaryota; Viridiplantae; Streptophyta; Magnoliopsida; Fabales; Fabaceae
Exons: 2
Source: RefSeq, a predicted model, not a curated record